Molecule: ribosomal RNA, 497 nt
Filed under: uncultured bacterium
Lineage: Bacteria
Description: partial 16S ribosomal RNA
Rfam family: Bacterial small subunit ribosomal RNA
Source: RNAcentral
GAUGAACGCUGGCGGCGUGCCUAAUACAUGCAAGUCGAGCGAACAGAUAAGGAGCUUGCUCCUUUGAAGUUAGCGGCGGACGGGUGAGUAACACGUGGGUAACCUACCUAUAAGACUGGGAUAACUUCGGGAAACCGGAGCUAAUACCGGAUAACAUUUAGAACCGCAUGGUUCUAAAGUGAAAGAUGGUUUUGCUAUCACUUAUAGAUGGACCCGCGCCGUAUUAGCUAGUUGGUAAGGUAACGGCUUACCAAGGCGACGAUACGUAGCCGACCUGAGAGGGGGAUGAGAAAGAAUGGAAGUGAGACAAGGUAAAGACGACUACGGGAGGCAGAAGGAGGGAAUAGUAGGAAAUGGGAGAAAGAAUGAAGUAGAAAUGAAGCGGGAGUGAAGAAGGGAGUAGGAUCGUAAAACAAUGUGAGUAGGGAAGAACGAAAGUGAAAGGAAAAAGGAACGUCGGGAAGGUACAGAAAGAAAAAGAAACGGAUAACUAAGUG